CCUACGGGUGGCAGCAGUGAGGAAUAUUGGUCAAUGGACGAGAGUCUGAACCAGCCAAGUAGCGUGAAGGAUGACUGCCCUAUGGGUUGUAAACUUCUUUUAUAUGGGAAUAAAACGUUCCACGUGUGGGAUUUUGUAUGUACCAUAUGAAUAAGGAUCGGCGAACUCCGUGCCAGCAGCCGCGGUAAUACGGAGGAUCCGAGCGUUAUCCGGAUUUAUUGGGUUUAAAGGGAGCGUAGGUGGAUUGUUAAGUCAGUUGUGAAAGUUUGCGGCUCAACCGUAAAAUUGCAGUUGAAACUGGCAGUCUUGAGUACAGUAGAGGUGAGCGGAAUUCGUGGUGUAGCGGUGAAAUGCUUAGAUAUCACGAAGAACUCCGAUUGCGAAGGCAGUUCACUGGACUGCAACUGACACUGAGGCUCGAAAGUGUGGGUAUCAAACAGGAUUAGAUACCCCUGUAGUC
Molecule: ribosomal RNA, 460 nt
Filed under: uncultured bacterium
Lineage: Bacteria
Description: partial 16S ribosomal RNA
Rfam family: Bacterial small subunit ribosomal RNA
Source: RNAcentral